This 1029-nucleotide long non-coding RNA is filed under the name Lepisosteus oculatus (spotted gar). Its description in RNAcentral is "lncRNA (ENSLOCG00000023157.1)". Lineage: Eukaryota; Metazoa; Chordata; Actinopteri; Semionotiformes; Lepisosteidae. The record is from RNAcentral.
CCUGCCCAGAAAGCAUGACUCUCCCUUCAGACCUUAACACCAGCAUCAAUUUGAUGGAGCUACCUUUCUCCAACCUGGAACUUGUGUUCAUUAUGACAGCCUUUAUAGUGUUUUCUCUGUUCAGCCUGGCUUCAAUCUUCAGUCAACCAGAAGACACAGUGGAAGAAAAAGAGCUCUAUCAAGAAUACAAGAAGCUUGUGAAUAACCCCAAGAAAAAGAGAAAUGAAACCUCCAAAAUGACAAAAGUUACUGAAGUAGUAUAAGAAACAAAACGUCUGGACAUUGAUUGUUAAUUGAGAACUGGACCUUUUUCUGAUCCAAGGAAAUGCAAUGAAGUCAUUUGUCUGCUGGAAUUCAGACAUGGCUGUGUACACUGCACGUAACACAUGACUUAAGAGAGUGUUUUUAUAUAUUUGACUGCCAUAAUAUUUAUUGUGAGAAUUCAAAUUAAUAACAACAUAUUUUUUUAAGUAUGUAUAUUUAGGAUCAGUCUAUGGUGCAUUUACAACCAUCUUUUUGUUUUAGUGCACAUUAGUUAACUACUUCAUCAUAGUUUGUUGGAAACAAAACGUCUUACAGCCUUGUUAAGAUACAGUAUAUGGUAGAUCACCUGUCUAGCAACCAUUAGAUCACUUUUUCAUUGAAAUGAAACACACAAGUGGACAACAUAGGGCCCUUGUCAAUCAGAAAACCUCUCUGGAGUACGCCACAGGUCUUUGUAAUGAAAGAUUAGAUGGAGACUGUUUAUCAUAUACAAAUAAAAUGGGUCGUCAGGCCUGCAGUGAGUGUCUGGUCAUGGAAACGGGGCAACACAGGCAGACCUGGCUUUCCAGACAGGCACAGUCACCCCAGCCUGGACAAAGAAACUGAACACAGACAGAUCUGGCAGCCCAGACAACACAGGCUGUGCAGGGAGAAGCAUUGACAGAGGUACACUUUCUGCUGCACAGUGAAAAAUACCCUGGGAUUUCACAAACCAGACCAGCUUCCAGUCCUGAGGAGUUAUAUGUACACAGGGUGGUCCGCCUA